GGGUUGUGAGGUUAAGCGACUAAGCGUACACGGUGGAUGCCCUGGCAGUCAGAGGCGAUGAAGGGCGUGCUAAUCUGCGAUAAGCGCCGGUAAGGUGAUAUGAACCGUUAUAACCGGCGAUACCCGAAUGGGGAAACCCAGUGUGAUUCGUCACACUAUCAUUAACUGAAUCCAUAGGUUAAUGAGGCGAACCGGGGGAACUGAAACAUCUAAGUACCCCGAGGAAAAGAAAUCAACCGAGAUUCCCCCAGUAGCGGCGAGCGAACGGGGAGGAGCCCAGAGCCUGAAUCAGCAUGUGUGUUAGUGGAAGCGUCUGGAAAGGCGCGCGAUACAGGGUGACAGCCCCGUACACAAAAGCGCAUGUGCUGUGAGCUCGAUGAGUAGGGCGGGACACGUGGUAUCCUGUCUGAAUAUGGGGGGACCAUCCUCCAAGGCUAAAUACUCCUGACUGACCGAUAGUGAACCAGUACCGUGAGGGAAAGGCGAAAAGAACCCCGGCGAGGGGAGUGAAAAAGAACCUGAAACCGUGUACGUACAAGCAGUGGGAGCACAGGUUUACCUGUGUGACUGCGUACCUUUUGUAUAAUGGGUCAGCGACUUAUAUUCUGUAGCAAGGUUAACCGAAUAGGGGAGCCGGAGGGAAACCGAGUCUUAAUUGGGCGUUAAGUUGCAGGGUAUAGACCCGAAACCCGGUGAUCUAGCCAUGGGCAGGUUGAAGGUUGGGUAACACUAACUGGAGGACCGAACCGACUAAUGUUGAAAAAUUAGCGGAUGACCUGUGGCUGGGGGUGAAAGGCCAAUCAAACCGGGAGAUAGCUGGUUCUCCCCGAAAGCUAUUUAGGUAGCGCCUCGUGAAUUCAUCUCCGGGGGUAGAGCACUGUUUCGGCUAGGGGGCCAUCCCGGCUUACCAACCCGAUGCAAACUGCGAAUACCGGAGAAUGUUAUCACGGGAGACACACGGCGGGUGCUAACGUCCGUCGUGAAGAGGGAAACAACCCAGACCGCCAGCUAAGGUCCCAAAGUCAUGGUUAAGUGGGAAACGAUGUGGGAAGGCCCAGACAGCCAGGAUGUUGGCUUAGAAGCAGCCAUCAUUUAAAGAAAGCGUAAUAGCUCACUGGUCGAGUCGGCCUGCGCGGAAGAUGUAACGGGGCUAAACCAUGCACCGAAGCUGCGGCAGCGACGCUGAUGCGUUGUUGGGUAGGGGAGCGUUCUGUAAGCCUGCGAAGGUGGCCUGUGAGGGUUGCUGGAGGUAUCAGAAGUGCGAAUGCUGACAUAAGUAACGAUAAAGCGGGUGAAAAGCCCGCUCGCCGGAAGACCAAGGGUUCCUGUCCAACGUUAAUCGGGGCAGGGUGAGUCGACCCCUAAGGCGAGGCCGAAAGGCGUAGUCGAUGGGAAACGGGUUAAUAUUCCCGUACUUGGUGUUACUGCGAAGGGGGGACGGAGAAGGCUAUGUUGGCCGGGCGACGGUUGUCCCGGUUUAAGCGUGUAGGUGUGUGUUCCAGGUAAAUCCGGUUCACUUUAACACUGAGGCGUGAUGACGAGGCACUACGGUGCUGAAGCAACAAAUGCCCUGCUUCCAGGAAAAGCCUCUAAGCAUCAGGUAACAUCAAAUCGUACCCCAAACCGACACAGGUGGUCAGGUAGAGAAUACCAAGGCGCUUGAGAGAACUCGGGUGAAGGAACUAGGCAAAAUGGUGCCGUAACUUCGGGAGAAGGCACGCUGACACGUAGGUGAAGUGAUUUACUCAUGGAGCUGAAGUCAGUCGAAGAUACCAGCUGGCUGCAACUGUUUAUUAAAAACACAGCACUGUGCAAACACGAAAGUGGACGUAUACGGUGUGACGCCUGCCCGGUGCCGGAAGGUUAAUUGAUGGGGUCAGCGCAAGCGAAGCUCCUGAUCGAAGCCCCGGUAAACGGCGGCCGUAACUAUAACGGUCCUAAGGUAGCGAAAUUCCUUGUCGGGUAAGUUCCGACCUGCACGAAUGGCGUAAUGAUGGCCAGGCUGUCUCCACCCGAGACUCAGUGAAAUUGAACUCGCUGUGAAGAUGCAGUGUACCCGCGGCAAGACGGAAAGACCCCGUGAACCUUUACUAUAGCUUGACACUGAACAUUGAGCCUUGAUGUGUAGGAUAGGUGGGAGGCUUUGAAGUGUGGACGCCAGUCUGCAUGGAGCCGACCUUGAAAUACCACCCUUUAAUGUUUGAUGUUCUAACGUGGACCCGUGAUCCGGGUUGCGGACAGUGUCUGGUGGGUAGUUUGACUGGGGCGGUCUCCUCCUAAAGAGUAACGGAGGAGCACGAAGGUUGGCUAAUCCUGGUCGGACAUCAGGAGGUUAGUGCAAUGGCAUAAGCCAGCUUGACUGCGAGCGUGACGGCGCGAGCAGGUGCGAAAGCAGGUCAUAGUGAUCCGGUGGUUCUGAAUGGAAGGGCCAUCGCUCAACGGAUAAAAGGUACUCCGGGGAUAACAGGCUGAUACCGCCCAAGAGUUCAUAUCGACGGCGGUGUUUGGCACCUCGAUGUCGGCUCAUCACAUCCUGGGGCUGAAGUAGGUCCCAAGGGUAUGGCUGUUCGCCAUUUAAAGUGGUACGCGAGCUGGGUUUAGAACGUCGUGAGACAGUUCGGUCCCUAUCUGCCGUGGGCGCUGGAGAACUGAGGGGGGCUGCUCCUAGUACGAGAGGACCGGAGUGGACGCAUCACUGGUGUUCGGGUUGUCAUGCCAAUGGCACUGCCCGGUAGCUAAAUGCGGAAGAGAUAAGUGCUGAAAGCAUCUAAGCACGAAACUUGCCCCGAGAUGAGUUCUCCCUGAGACUUAGAGUCUCCUGAAGGAACGUUGAAGACGACGACGUUGAUAGGCCGGGUGUGUAAGCGCAGCGAUGCGUUGAGCUAACCGGUACUAAUGAACCGUGAGGCUUAACCUUACAACGCCGAAG
This 2929-nucleotide ribosomal RNA is filed under the name Salmonella sp. SSDFZ69. RNAcentral's name for it is "23S ribosomal RNA". It matches the Rfam family "Bacterial large subunit ribosomal RNA". Lineage: Bacteria; Pseudomonadati; Pseudomonadota; Gammaproteobacteria; Enterobacterales; Enterobacteriaceae. The record is from RNAcentral.